This 71-nucleotide transfer RNA is filed under the name Parajulis poecilepterus. RNAcentral describes it as "tRNA-Ile". It matches the Rfam family "tRNA". From Rfam's summary of the family: Transfer RNA (tRNA) molecules are approximately 80 nucleotides in length. Their secondary structure includes four short double-helical elements and three loops (D, anti-codon, and T loops). Further hydrogen bonds mediate the characteristic L-shaped molecular structure. tRNAs have two regions of fundamental functional importance: the anti-codon, which is responsible for specific mRNA codon recognition, and the 3' end, to which the tRNAs corresponding amino acid is attached (by aminoacyl-tRNA synthetases). tRNAs cope with the degeneracy of the genetic code in two manners: having more than one tRNA (with a specific anti-codon) for a particular amino acid; and 'wobble' base-pairing, i.e. permitting non-standard base-pairing at the 3rd anti-codon position. Lineage: Eukaryota; Metazoa; Chordata; Actinopteri; Labriformes; Labridae. The record is from RNAcentral.
GGAGCUGUGCCUGAAGCCAUAGGGCCACUUUGAUAGAGUGAAACAUGGAGGUUAAAGUCCUCCCAUCUCCU